UUAACCUUUGAUCCUCGCCGCUAUUUCUGUCGCUGCUGAAAUGAUCGGACUGCUGGUUGAUGAGUUGUUUUCAAGAAAAAGCACAUAUUUCAGCCAUAAUGUAUGAUUCUGAUUGUGUAAAAGCUGUUUUGAGGAUUUCAUAAAGACGGUAAAUUACUUCCAGUUUGCUCGGUUCGUAGCAACCGAUUGUUAUGGUUAGCAUAACUAGCUUAAACUAGCUUUUCUGAGGUUUGGUGCUAGCCCUGAUAAAAUUCACAGACUAGUAAGAUAGUUAGCUUAAAGAUGUCUCUCUUAGCAGUUGACAGAGUUUGAGCUUUGUUUAGUAUUGAUCUAAUGUACGUUUUUGUUGUUGUUUAGCAUUAGCUAGCUAGCUGGUUGUGUUGUGUGCUAUGCAGUUGAUUGCAAGAACCUCCUCAGUUCUGUCCCUUUAAAUGCUCGUUUUCCAUAGCAGAUCUCAAUAUUUAUGUUGCCAAACAAUUGUUAAACACCUAAAGUCCAUUUAAUUUGCUCCUGAACACAUUUCAGCCGUAGAACCAGGUCGACCAACAGAGAUUCAUCAUCAUCGUCAGUUUUCAGAAGAAGACUCUCUCUGCAUCUGUGAUUAACAGACUGGAGCUAAACAGCUGACCUCAAGGUAGCUGAUACAGACAUGGAUGAAGAGGAUCCUUCUGCUACACAAAGAUCACCUGAUGAGCAACAUGUGAUUCGUUACACGGAACCGGUGACGACACUCUUAAAGUUCCAGAUUCCAAAAUCAUGACAGUGUGAAACUAUCAUUGUGUCACGUCUGAACUCUUCUGUCUCGAUCAACCAGGUCAAGUGUCUAUUUUUUCAUGUUUAUUCAUCCCUAAUGGACAAGUAGCUAAAGGAGUGGUUUUCGUAGUGAUGGUGUAAAAUCUGCACCAUCCAACUGUAAAGCCACAUGCAGUCAAGGAGAGAUGAUCAGACCACCCUUGUUUCUUCAGUUUCUUGUUCAUUUUAAUGCAUGGUACCACUAAAGGUCCAUCUGUUUGGACAAAUAUAAUGACAACAACAAAAACAGCUCAUAAGAGUUUAAUUUCAGAGCUAAUAUCAGACAUUUUCCAUGGUUUUCUAGAUAAUUACCAAAAUCCCUUCAGUUCUUCCAUCAGUAUCUAUGGCAUUGUUCUGAUAUAAACAGCUAUUAGGAUUCCAUGUUUUCUUUUCUGUCUGUUUUAGUCCCAUGAUCCACACAGGAGUUAGUACUGAUUCAUAACCAUUGUUUCUGAUGACUGCAUCCAUGCAUCUUGGCUGCUCUCCACCAGCUUCUGACAUUGUUCUGCUGUCACAGCAGCCCAUUCCUGUUGCAGUAAUUCUAACUAACCUGCUUUGUUUUUGGGCUUGUGGUUUUCCAUUUAGUGUCUGAUGAUUUUCCACGGGUUUUCAGUUGGAUUUAGAUCUGGUGAUUGAGCAGAUCAAGGCAUGGUUCCAAUGUUCUGGUUCUCCAUCCGGGCUUUAACUGACCUUGUCUUGUUGGAAAAUCCAGUCAUUGGGGACAGGAAAGAGUUUUCCAGCUGAUGGAAGAAGACUGUUUUCUAGAGUAGCCCCAGACAUGACCUGGUUCAUUCACCCUGUUCCAUCCAGACUGAAACUACCCCAGAUGGUCUCUGAUCCACCCCCAUGUUUUACUGUAGGGGCAGACAGUCUGGUUUGUAGCUUCUCCAGGCUUCCUCCUAACCAGUAAGUUGACUGGAUGGACAUCAACUGAAAACUGGAUUCAUCCCUGAAGAGAACCUUAGUCCAAUUAUCAACAGUCCAAUCCUUGUGAUCCCUGCAAAGAGUAACCAGCUUUCCUCUGCCUUUCCUUGAUGAAGGGCUUCUUCCUGUCCUGUGGGACUUCAGACCAGCUUCAACAAGUCACUUUCCAACUGUUCUUGCCCAUCAAGUCCCAUUUCUCCACAGUGUCCACUCAUUUUUAAGGUCCCUGGAGGUCUGAGGACGAUUCCUGACAGGAAGGGAUGAGUGACGAUCAUCUAGUGGGUAGAAAGACGUUUCCUGACCAGCUAGCAGUUUAGUAGAACCAUGUUGGGCUGUUUUUUCUUGGUGGAAUGAACAGCUGUCUUGGAGAUCUUCAGUUUUUUGGCUACCUGUCUCUCACUCAUGAUGGCUGCCUUUGUGGCUUCACAUAAUUCUUUAGUUUUAGGCGUUACAUGAGAGCUGACAGCUUCUGAGUUCUGCUACAGCUUGAAUGUCAGCAGGAAACCACUCUAGACCUUUGCAUGUGCUGCUGAUGACAUGAAAUGUCCUCUUAUAGACCCUGGAAUACAAUGAAGCUGAAGCAGGUCAGAUAGGACAUAAAGUAUUAUGGAAUCGGCUGCAUUUAAAGUCCUGUUCAUUGUAUUCUUCAGGUAAUAGACCUUUAGUUGUACCAGGCAUUAAAAUGAAGAAGAAAUUGAAGAAAACAAGGAUGGUCAUUCUGUACACUUUUACAGUAAAAUUCUUUCAACCACAGCUGCUGGUAAGUUGCUGUAAAUUUGAGUUUUGCAAUAAAAUAUCAUAAAAUAUCA
This is a long non-coding RNA of Amphiprion ocellaris (clown anemonefish), 2525 nucleotides long. RefSeq lists it as uncharacterized. NCBI's taxonomy places the organism in Eukaryota, Metazoa, Chordata, Actinopteri, Pomacentridae. The record is from RefSeq and is a predicted model, not a curated record. The transcript has 3 exons.